UAAAGUCAAAUUAAUUGGUUAAAGCUAAUAAAUAAUUACUAUUAAGUACAACAACUCUACUUAUUAUUGUAAGAGUAAAAUCUUUAUAAAUAAGAUAGGAAUGUGUUAAUGUAACAUUAAUUCUCUUACGAGGCGCUAGCAUAAAGACUAGGAUUAGAUACCCUAUUAUGGGCGUGAGUAUGAAAGUUUAUUAAGUUAAUAGCCUUAAUUAAAGCAAAACCUAUUUACUAUGGCGGCUGUUAGUCUCACCAGAGUCGUAUGUCCUUAAACGAAACUGCGCGAUUAUCUUACCUUUUAACUUUUGCUAAUAUAAAAUAAUUACAUUAUAGCAAUCUGGCACGUCGCUGUACUAAAAGUGAAGAUUUUAAAUAACUCAUCUUCUAAUUACUUAUUAGCAUUUAUUAAUAACGUACAAGUCAAGACGCCGUUUUAAGAGGCUUAAGAUGUACGAUUUAAUUGAUUUGAUAGAAUUUAUAAGAAUGAAAACUUUCUUUAUUAAAAUAAUUUGGAAGUAAAAUAGGGUUAUUAUUCUUAUUUGAAAUGAGCUACUAAUAAGU
RNAcentral lists this ribosomal RNA (557 nucleotides) under Pediculus humanus (human louse). Its description in RNAcentral is "partial 12S ribosomal RNA". Lineage: Eukaryota; Metazoa; Arthropoda; Insecta; Psocodea; Pediculidae. The record is from RNAcentral.